Trichobilharzia regenti is the source of this 46-nucleotide non-coding RNA. Lineage: Eukaryota; Metazoa; Platyhelminthes; Trematoda; Strigeidida; Schistosomatidae. The record is from Rfam.
GUACUAAUGAAGAGUCCCAAACUAGGACGAAACAGCUAUCCAGUAC